RNAcentral lists this ribosomal RNA (497 nucleotides) under uncultured bacterium. RNAcentral describes it as "partial 16S ribosomal RNA". It matches the Rfam family "Bacterial small subunit ribosomal RNA", at positions 28 to 507 of the family's 1533-position model. The record is from RNAcentral.
GAUGAACGCUGGCGGCGUGCCUAAUACAUGCAAGUCGAGCGAACAGAUGAGGAGCUUGCUCCUCUGACGUUAGCGGCGGACGGGUGAGUAACACGUGGAUAACCUACCUAUAAGACUGGGAUAACUUCGGGAAACCGGAGCUAAUACCGGAUAAUAUAUUGAACCGCAUGGUUCAAUAGUGAAAGACGGUUUUGCUGUCACUUAUAGAUGGUUCGCGGCCGCAUUGGCUAGUUGGUAAGGUAACGGCUUACCAAGGCAACGAUGCGUAGCCGACCUGAGAGGGGGGUCGGCGACACUGGAACUGGAACGCGGUCCAGAGUCCUGCGGGAGGCAGCAGAAGGGAACCGGACGCAACGGGCGAAAGCCUGACGGAGCAACGCCGAGUGAGUUAUGAAGGUCCUCGGAUCGUAAAACUCUGUUAUUAGGGAAGAACAAAUGUGUAAGUAACUAUGCACGUCGUGACGGUACCUAGUCAGAAAGCCACGGCUAACUACGUG